RNAcentral lists this unclassified non-coding RNA (352 nucleotides) under soil metagenome. RNAcentral describes it as "partial contains 5.8S ribosomal RNA, internal transcribed spacer 2, and large subunit ribosomal RNA". The stretch from base 1 to 120 matches the Rfam family "5.8S ribosomal RNA", at positions 35 to 154 of the family's 154-position model. The record is from RNAcentral.
GAUGAAGAACGUAGCGAAAUGCGAUAAGUAAUGUGAAUUGCAGAAUUCAGUGAAUCAUCGAAUCUUUGAACGCACAUUGCGCCCGCCAGCACUCUGGCGGGCAUGCCUGUCCGAGCGUCAUUUCAACCCUCGCGCCGUCCCUCCAGGGGGCUCGGCGCGGUGUUGGGGGACACGGCCCCGGCCGCCCCCGAAAUGCAGUGGCGACCCCGCCGCGGCCCCUCCAGCGCAGUAAGCACGCUCGCUACGGGAGGCCCGGUGGACGCGUCCGCCGUAAAACGCCCAACCCUUCAGAAGUUGACCUCGGAUCAGGUAGGGAUACCCGCUGAACUUAAGCAUAUCAAUAAGCGGAGGA